AAUUCGCUCAACACCUACUACCUCACACUAAAAUAAAUAUGGGUCAUAUAAAAAAAAAUAUCACCUAACAAUAAUCUUUAUUUCUACGGACAUUUGAACCAUUUUUUCACUUCAUUGACCAUUAAGCACACAAUUGGGUGCAAGACAUUCUUCAUUAUCUUGCAUUGAUAGUCUUUUCUUUGAAAAAAUAAUAUCCUCUUGGAGCCUAUGUCAAAGUUUCACAUAGUUUCGAACUCUCUUUUUAUGACUAACUAUUAACAAAUCGUAGCAGUAAGGGCCUCCUAACAUGUGAUGGAGUGUUACGUAUUCUUUCAUCCUUCAUCUUCAACCAAAAAUCUCAAAUUCGAGUCUCCCUUGUUACCCGACAGCAGGUGGAAAACAAAAAAAGGAAUAACGAAAAAUAACAGGUCAAAUAUCACUCAAUUAAAAUCAAUCCAUUUCAACAGUUCAGCUUCAGCAAGUCUGUCCAGUCGUUAACUUGUAUUAACAUGUGACAACCAAAAAUAUAUAUAAAAAUUUAUCAGUACUCACACCAAACUAGCUAAUAUGUAACAUGUUAUUUUCAUAGAAUCCUUCAUCAGUAACCAUGACCUAUUGACGAAUUCAUCAAAACAUGCAGUAACUUUGAAAAAUAUGACAAGCACCAUUAAUAUUUUUUUAAGAGUCCAAGCAACAUAGACGGUCGAAUAAUGGGAAGGAAGACCCCAACCAAAGCACAGAUGAUGGCCGACAGUUUCAUGCAGAUGUUGAAGUAGAAUAUAAGCUCUCCACAAGACAACACUAUUAUAUUGUAUAGAAAAAUGAUUUUUUCAUUUUGCAUUGAAGUUAGUGCAGUGUGAGGGCAUGAGGGUUGGAGUAGAGUUGGAGAAGGGGACCACUCAACCUUUUACUUGAACCUUCACCUUCACCUUCACCAAUCAAAUGAAGCACAAACCCAAUGGAAUACUAUUCUCAACAUUAGCCACAAAAUUCUUCUGGGCAACCUGUUAUCUUAUUAUUUUUUUUAAAAAUAUCUGUUACAAAUGAGAAAUGCCAUUAUUAAACAGGACAUAAGAAAUCAAAUGAAUACCACCACUAACUGCAGCUUUUUACUCCUCCCAGAGCCUGAAUAUUUGCUCCCGGGCCCUAGUGACUCAAACUCACAACUGGUUAGAGGUGGUAGGUCAAAGGUGGAGAGUGCCCUCACAUUUCUUCCUCAAAAGGCAAUAUGACAGGGCAAUGAAUCAUUCAUAAGCAAAUAGGUUCAAAACUCAGCAGAGAAAAAAAAACACUAGAUGAUUCUUCCCAUUACCUGAUACCUGUUGUUGAUAGGACAUGGUAGGUAUUACGUGGACUUAAUUGAGGUGCACGAAAGCUAGCCUGAACACCACGGUCAUAAAAAUAAAUUAAUUAAAAGAACACCAACUAGGCUUGGCUUCUUGUGGGAAGAGGAGGGAUCAAUAAUGCAUCAUCAUAUUAUAAUAGAGAGAUGCAAAUGAAUAAAAAAAAUGAAGGCAUGAAGAUUGCAUGUAAAAAGGGGCAGGGGACCACCCUACAGACAGAAUCUAUUGGUACUUCCUAGACAAAUAAUGCCAGACACAACCUUAUAAUACACUAUAUAUAAAAAUUAUAAUGAUGGAAAAUUAUCUCAAAACUAAAGCUAAUUUCCUAAAUCAGGAUUUAAACCACGAGGUCCCCCCCUCCAUAAUUGGCAAAAUCAAUUGGUACCAGUCAUAUUGUAUAUAGCAUGACCUAGCCAUUUACAAAUAAAUUAAUAUAGUACUAAGUGUUGAAGGAAAGGGACUAAAGCAUUUCAUUAAUGCAAAAAAUAUAACAUAAAAAUUGUACUUGCCACAAGCUACUUGCCAUAUAAAAAAUUGAACCAAUGUAUAUCAAUGAGGUCAUCCUCAUUGCCCUAGAAAAAGGGAGAAAACAUGGUGCUCAUCACGUUUUGCUGUCUUCACAGCCAUGCAAAUAUAUUUCAAAAAUUUAAAGCCAAGAAACACAUCUACUUCAAACUUCAACUGAUAUAUGUGUUGCAAAAGAAAGAAAUAUAUCAAUUCGUAAAUACUAAUUCCCCAAAACAGAUUUCAAGUAUGAAGUUACAGUUCGCAAGAGCCAUGUAAAACAUCUCUCGAAAAAGUCUUAAUUUGUGCCAUAGGUAUGUGUGACAUCAAGCAUAUCUCUGUAGAGGAAAAAGGAGAUUCCUAUAGCAAGUAAGUAGGUGGAUCUGUGUUGCAUUCCUCAUCAGUUUAGACAGAACAUGUAAAACAUAUUGCAAGGAGCGGAUAUAAUGUUACAGCAAACAAAUGAUUAUAGAUGUUCGGAAUAACUGUAUAAGACAUGAAACUAUAGCCAUAUGAAGAUUCUAACAAUUGGGAUUAACCGAUGGUGGUAGAGACCAGGACGAACAGACAACUGCCUAGUGAUCGAAAUGGCUACACAGAACUCUUGGAAUCAUAUGACGAAGUAGAUUUCUAAAGCAUAUACAUGUACUACAAACAAGAUGCUAGAGAAAACUAUUGACUGAUUCAAACAGAAGUGAUUGAGUGCUUAAAAUUGUCCAGACAACUGAAAGAUCUUAUCCUGGAAAUCACCACAAUACGUUAAACAGAAUUAUUAUUGAAAAUUAGGUUUUGAAAAUGAAGAGAAUGGGAAAAAGGAGCUCCCUUCAGUCCAAGCAAGGAAAGAGAGGGAUAGAAAACUAUCUCCCGCAUCAUUCACUCAAUCACAGUAGCACAAAACCUAUCCUUUCUACUGAGCGGUUGGAUGAAUGAGUCGGCAGCUAAUUCAACCCCAUUUCUCCUCCUUGAGUGGGCUGAAGGAAGCUCUCUUGGACCAUUCCUCAAUUCACAAAACUUUUUACAAUUAACUUCUUCAACUGAACAGCCUUAGUAAAUCAUCAAAUCAUACAUUUUUGAUAAGAAUAUAUGAGAUUCCGAGGAAUAAAUAUACUAACCUCAAUCUACCAAUAUUACCUUUCCACAGCUUACAUUCAACUCCCCCAAAAAAAUUAGGAUAUGUAACCAGUCAGUAAUAGUUCACAACAGUUCACCAUUAUAUCUCAGAAUCAAAUUGCAGAGAGUAAAGGCAGCCUAAAAUGAAAUACGAAUACAAUAGACACAACCAAAAUCAUAGCUCAAGGGUACAUCUAUUUUAAUUUUUUGUGAAAGAAAAAGCCCCUUGUCCCCUCAUCUCUUUAAGAAAAAAAAAAACUUUUAUGGUCACUGUUGAUAGCAUACCAAAGUCUCAUCUGAAACCUGAGAAAGAUAGAUACUUUUUAUUUGACAAACAAAAAUUAAUCAACAGCAAAAUCCAUGGCAAACUUUCACAUAUAGAAAAAGUUCACUAUACAAACACAAUCUGUUAACUAAGCAGAGUCAACUCUUACCACAAACCCUAUAAUCAAUCAAAAAACACAAAGAUCUCUAAUCUACCAUUCUAAUGAGUCUAUAUACAAGGAACUGUUCAGUGAUGAAAAUCGAAGAAAUACUUAUCUGUUAAGUGAUGAAAAUCGGCCGAAUAGACACAGUAUAUGUGAAACCCUAACUCUUCAAUACUAUUCGGUACGGGGAAAACGCUUUGGCAGAGCAAUAAAUAGAGAGAAGAAACAUGGUUUUGGAUGAAUGAAAAAACAAAGAAAUUCAGAAGGAAAGGGAAAUGAGAUAAGGAAAUUUAAGAAAUUGAAAGGAAUAUAAAGGGGUAAGUGAUGGUUGCACUAAAUACGGAGAGUGUAUAAAUACACAAAGAUGAAAAUGAAAAUGAAAAGUCGCUUUCGCCAUGAGAGUGAGGUAUGAGAAAGCGACAUUGUCAACAAAAUCUUUCACAUUUACAACAACAUUAGAAAAUAUAUAACACCAAAAAAAAAAGAAAAAGACUAGUAAUCUUUAUUAGGAAUUAGUAUUAUUAUUAUCAGAAAGAGAGAGAACAUAAUGAAAAAAGUGAAAAAAAGAUGGAAGAUGUGGGGGAUCAUUUCAUCUGCAAAAUCAUACCUUCUGGAGCGCAUUAACAAGUGAG
RNAcentral lists this long non-coding RNA (3996 nucleotides) under Solanum tuberosum (potato). RNAcentral describes it as "long non-coding RNA (STUB_LNC003794)". The stretch from base 2630 to 2824 matches the Rfam family "MIR159 microRNA precursor family". Lineage: Eukaryota; Viridiplantae; Streptophyta; Magnoliopsida; Solanales; Solanaceae. The record is from RNAcentral.